GGGCAUCUCAUGUCCGUCAAGGACCGGAGACCACCCUCAUUUCCUAUUCAACAAAACACAACACACACUAACAUGGACUGAAGUUCAAAAAUAUAACAAGAUAAAGUAACAUAAGUUCAAAGAUUCAAAGUCAUAUCAAUUGCCACCAACUUAUACCGAUAACAAAUACCAACUACCAGUAUAACACCCAAGUCCACAGUACCCACAAAGUCUCUAACAAAAUCAAAUACCAAUAAAGUGUCGGGAUAUGCC
RNAcentral lists this long non-coding RNA (252 nucleotides) under Capsicum annuum. RNAcentral describes it as "long non-coding RNA (CANN_LNC012895)". The record is from RNAcentral. Lineage: Eukaryota; Viridiplantae; Streptophyta; Magnoliopsida; Solanales; Solanaceae.